UACGUAGGGUGCAAGCGUUAAUCGGAAUUACUGGGCGUAAAGCGUGCGCAGGCGGUGAUGUAAGACAGAUGUGAAAUCCCCGGGCUCAACCUGGGAACUGCAUUUGUGACUGCAUCGCUGGAGUGCGGCAGAGGGGGAUGGAAUUCCGCGUGUAGCAGUGAAAUGCGUAGAUAUGCGGAGGAACACCGAUGGCGAAGGCAAUCCCCUGGGCCUGCACUGACGCUCAUGCACGAAAGUGUGGGGAGCAAACAGG
Molecule: ribosomal RNA, 253 nt
Filed under: uncultured bacterium
Lineage: Bacteria
Description: partial 16S ribosomal RNA
Rfam family: Bacterial small subunit ribosomal RNA
Source: RNAcentral